UACGUAGGGUGCGAGCGUUGUCCGGAAUUAUUGGGCGUAAAGAGCUCGUAGGCGGUCUGUCGCGUCGGUCGUGAAAACUUGGGGCUUAACCCUGAGCUUGCGGUCGAUACGGGCAUGACUGGAGUUCGGCAGGGGAGACUGGAAUUCCUGGUGUAGCGGUGAAAUGCGCAGAUAUCAGGAGGAACACCGGUGGCGAAGGCCGGUCUCUGGGCCGAUACUGGCGGUGAGGAGCGAAAGCGUGGGGAGCGAACAGG
This 254-nucleotide ribosomal RNA is filed under the name uncultured bacterium. Its description in RNAcentral is "partial 16S ribosomal RNA". It matches the Rfam family "Bacterial small subunit ribosomal RNA", at positions 524 to 776 of the family's 1533-position model. The record is from RNAcentral.